Molecule: ribosomal RNA, 468 nt
Filed under: uncultured bacterium
Lineage: Bacteria
Description: partial 16S ribosomal RNA
Rfam family: Bacterial small subunit ribosomal RNA
Source: RNAcentral
GACGAACGCUGGCGGCGUGCUUAACACAUGCAAGUCGAACGGAAAGGCCCUGCUUUUGUGGGGUGCUCGAGUGGCGAAAGGGUGAGUAACACGUGAGUAACCUGCCCUUGACUUUGGGAUAACUUCAGGAAACUGGGGCUAAUACCGGAUAGGAGCUCCUGCUGCAUGGUGGGGGUUGGAAAGUUUCGGCGGUUGGGGAUGGACUCGCGGCUUAUCAGCUUGUUGGUGGGGUAGUGGCUUACGAAGGCUUUGACGGGUAGCCGGCCUGAGAGGGUGACCGGCCACAUUGGGCCUGCGCUACCGCCCAGACUCCUACGGGAGGCAGCAGUGGGGGAUAUUGCACUAUGGGCGGAAGCCUGAUGCAGCAACGCCGCGUGCGGGAUGACGGCCUUCGGGUUGUAGCCCGCUUUCGCCUGUGACGAAGCGUGAGUGACGGUAAUGGGUAAAGAAGCACCGGCUAACUACGUG